AAACCUAGAACUGAAGCUAAAACAAACCCUUUGUUCCCUGAGUUGUUUUUGCCAAGGGAUUUUUAUCACAACAGGAAAACAAACCAGGACAACUUCUCUCCUUGGCAUACUCCUCUACAAGAAUUAUAGCCCAGUCAAGCCCCUGGAUAUAGAGAGGAGCCAACUGGGAAGGUGUGUCAGCCCCCUGCACUCCCUGGCUGGUAUCUGACAUGGGCCAGGAGCAGAUCAUUGGCCACAUCUCCAGAGACAGAGUAUAACCCUGGGGAUUCAUACCUAAGCAGCCAAGGCAAAAGGGAAUUCCCUUUCCUUAUCCCUCCUGCUCCAGAGGCUUGCAGAGUGAGGUCAACUCCUAGUUGUGUAACUGAAGGGCUCACUGCCACUAGAGCAGCUCAACUUGACUACAGCAGUGUGGGAAAUCUUCUCUCCCUCAGCUGAGAGUUUGUAGGGAGCAUGGAAUCAUAUUCAGGGGCUCAUGUGCUCAUGAGCAGGUCUCCAUCAUCCUGAAUCUCCCUCGUUAGCCUCUUAGUGGGUCCUCACACUGUUCUCCCAAGCCCUGGUUCCAUUCUCUCCACUCCAAAUGUUUUAUAAAGUGUAUCUUCCUUGGCUGUCUUUGCUGUGUCCCAGGCAAAUGCUGGCUUUACCUGUGCAGGGUAGGCCCCAUUUCCUUGGGAGGAGCUGUGUGUGUCAGGGGCUGAGUCCCGCCCCAGACCUAGCAGAUGACAUUUUCUGCUCCUAGACUAUAUACCUAGAAGGGUGACCCCCCCAAAACUUUAACUCAUCUCAGUGACAGGAUAUGGAGCAGCUCAUCUGUGGCACACAGCUUAGGGAACCAUGGCAGCCAGGGCAUAGGUCACACACUGCCAGAAGCUUCUGUGGAUAAUGUUGGUUCUGAUGUCUCCUAACUCACAAUCACUGGGUGCGAUGAUGCUCCCCUUUAAUGCCUACACAUGGCAGACAGAGGCAGAUGAAUCUCUGUUAGUCUGAGGCUAGCAUAGGCUACAUAGUGAGACACAGUCUCAAAACAAAUAAAUAAAAAUGAACCCAUAGUUGCAUGUCUUAUUCAUUGUUAGCCACGUGUUGCUUUUUUAAGUGUAGAGAACUGUCUUUUGGAGAAUCCGUUUUUACUGCUGUUCAAUGGAAGAUUGCUAAUAAAAAAACCAACUUGAGUUC
This is a long non-coding RNA of Mus musculus (house mouse), 1170 nucleotides long. RefSeq annotates it as predicted gene 10512. The record is from RefSeq and is marked validated. Lineage: Eukaryota; Metazoa; Chordata; Mammalia; Rodentia; Muridae. The transcript has a single exon.